Molecule: long non-coding RNA, 1352 nt
Organism: Homo sapiens (human)
Lineage: Eukaryota; Metazoa; Chordata; Mammalia; Primates; Hominidae
Source: Ensembl
CCGCCGUGACCACGCCGCCACCGUUAUCACCGCCGUGACCACGCCGCCACCGUUAUCACCGCCGUGACCACGCCGCCACCGUUAUCACCGCCGUGACCACGCCGCCACCAUUAUGCUACAUCCUGAUGAUGCCUCCACCUCCCCUCCUUUGCCUUUAUGACUUACCCUUGGCCCCCACAACCCUCUCUCCGCUCCCUUGGUCCUAUUCUGGUUGGAAAUGCUCCAGAAUAGUAAUGCUUGCUCAAUUAUUUAACUCCUACCUGUUUUCUUCCAGAGCUGGCCUGUCCUCCCCGCAGCAAUUACGAGCUCUGCGGCUCCUCCUGUCCUAGCUCUUGUGCCGAGCCUGCCCUGCCCGACAGCUGCCUGACACCAUGCCAGGAUGGCUGCCAGUGUGACCCAGGCUUUGUGCUCAGUGGCAUGGACUGCGUGCCCCCAAUCCAGUGCAGCUGCUCCAUGGGGGGCAGGUACCACCACCCGGCUGGGGAGGCCUUCUGGACUGGGGAGCGCUGUGAGCAAUUCUGCCACUGCCAGGCCUCCACCCACGCCGUGUGCUGCUCCCCGUCCUCCUGUGGGCCGGGGCAGAGAUGUGAGACCCUCAGGGGCAUCUUUGGGUGCCACCCACUCUCCCCUGGCAUUUAUCAAGCAACCAUGCACUCACACGUCGCCUCCUUUGACCGGAAGAGUGUUGAGUUUCCAGGCACUUGCGCUUCUGCUUUUACCAAGUCCUGUGGCUCCUCCAGCUCAUUGCGCCUUUUCAAGGUGGAAAUUGGGAAGGAGAAACAAGUCCAGCAGUCCCAUUGUGUUCAUUUCAAAGAUGUAGGUUCAUGGGACCCAGGUUUGUCUGCAGAGAGAGCCCCGACCUGAUGAGGUAAGCACUCAUUGGCAUCUAGAGACUCUUGAACCGAUUGAAGCUAAAAGAAAUACAUUGGCUCAAACUAAGUAAAAAUCAUGUGAUAGCCUAGUGAAAGUGUAGAGAUUCUGGGUCCACAGAAGUUCCCUAUAUACCACUUUGGCUGUUUUGGUUACAGAAAGCCUCAUAAAAGGUAACUCAAACCAGUCACAGACUGUGUUUUAUGAUUUUUAGACUAAUUACAUAACUGAAAAUUCCAGAGGGAGAUCAGGCAUGGUUUGAUCAGGGUGCUAACUCAGUUUUUCAGCAUUUCUCUUGGUCUGUGUUUCUCUAUAGCAUUAGCUUUGUCCUCAGGCUGGCUUUUCUUGUGAUGGCAAAAUAACUGCCAAUUUUCCAGUCAUUAAAUGUGUAUUCCCCAUUGUCCAAAACCCGAAUCUUUUCUUACCCCAAGUACUCAACAAAAAUUCCAAUGCUUCACUUUGAUUAAACCCCACUGAGCCAA